CCCAUGGACGCUGAGAACCUGCCUCUAGUCAUGGCAGAUUGACUUUCCAGUGGCUGGACAAUUGCCCGGUUGAAGGUCACCCUGUGGAAACCUCUUUCCUGGUCAUGCCAGCGUGUUUGGGAUGCUGGAAACACAUACAUUUCCUAAUGACAAACAAUUUUUUAAAUAUCCAUUGCUAUCUGGACAAAAUCAACCACAGGUCACUGCUUAGGCGUUUCCAAAAGCUGGGGGCAGGGAAGCAUGAUUGCCCAGCAGGGUGCUGAUUAUGAGACUUAGCCCACAUCGCCCUGAGCCAGGUUCCUCUAACUCCACACUUGAAAAGGUGUCAACCUGCGGUAGAGACUGCCAGUUUCCUGCUUACAAACUAUUGCUCUUUGCCCUCUUUGUAAGGACCUUCGGAUUUCAUCUAUGGUGGUGAUGUUCCAGACAAAAGACUGAAUCUCCCAUUUUCCCUCGCAGGAAGUGUGACCACAACCUGCAGCAGCCCGUGGUUCAGGGAGCGGAUCCGCGCCCACGAAGCGGAGCUCGA
Molecule: long non-coding RNA, 529 nt
Organism: Talpa occidentalis (Iberian mole)
Lineage: Eukaryota; Metazoa; Chordata; Mammalia; Eulipotyphla; Talpidae
Exons: 4
Source: RefSeq, a predicted model, not a curated record